RNAcentral lists this microRNA precursor (94 nucleotides) under Paramuricea clavata. Lineage: Eukaryota; Metazoa; Cnidaria; Anthozoa; Malacalcyonacea; Plexauridae. The record is from RNAcentral.
CGAAAACAUUCAAUAUUUUAAUUCGAAGCCACUAUAUUUAUACUGAUAAAUAUAGUGGCUUCGAAUGAAAAUAUUGAAUGUUUUCGCGAAUAUU